AUCUCAUUUUAGGGCUCCUUUAAGCAUGAAUCUAUAUUCAUGGAUUUGUUCUACCCUGAAGAAGUACGAAGUGUGUAAAAACAACUCCAUCAUAGUUACAGACACCAUAGUCACCAAAUUGCCAAGAUAGUUAAAACAGAAAUCAUGGGAAAUGCACUGGAUUUGAAGACAGAAGACCUGGGUUCUUUAUAUAUGUAACAUUGGGCAAUCCAUUUAAUCUUCAUGAACCUUGGUUUCUCAUCAGUAAAAGGAAGUAAUACCACUUGUGUUGUCUCCCUCACAGAAUCAUUGUGAAGAAAGUACUUUGAGCAUUAUACAAAUGCAGGGAACUGGCAUUCAUGUGGAAUAGGAUUCUUGAGCUUGGAUCUCAUAUGUCUGGCUCUCUAUAAUCAAGAAAAUAACAAUUAGGAAGAUCAGGAAAAGCAAUCGAGUGCCAUCUUGAAUAAAGGGAAGGAUUCAAAGUUGCAGAAGUAACAAGAGAUUCAAAUUCAAGGACAGAGGCUGGGAACCAGAAUGUAGAGAUCCAUGAAGCUGGACCGUAGAGGUUAUCCAUCCAGGGAAGAAAUUUGAAAUAAGGCUAAAGGAUAGUCAAAAGCCAAAUUGUGAGCCAAAACAUCUUUCGUGGUUUCUGCUGCUGACACUUUAGCACAAUUUACCUUGUCUGGAUUUCAGAACUUGUCUAUUGCCCUGACAGUAUCCUACCAAGCUACCUCAGUCUAUCAAAAUUUCUGCCUUUUUCUCCGUGUUUAGCUCUUAUGAUAUACGAAUAUCAAUUCUAAAGUAACUGGGAUUCUGUUCUUAGAUAAGAUUACAUUUCAUAAACCUCUAUUUGGCUGCUGAGGUCUCUGAGCAGUUGUCUAUUCUGACCUCUAAUAACUGUGCUCCCAUUUUAGUUCCUCACCCUACCAAUCCCAUUAGACCUCUGUAACCUCUAUCUCUCUGCCACCCUUUGGCCCUUCAUAACACAGGGCUGAUUAUUCCUACUACUACUCUGGCCUUUGAAAUAAAUGGUAAUUCCAUACACAAAAGAUUUUUUUUUAAUAAAAAGAUACUAAGAAUCACAA
Non-coding RNA from Monodelphis domestica (gray short-tailed opossum), 1064 nucleotides. NCBI's taxonomy places the organism in Eukaryota, Metazoa, Chordata, Mammalia, Didelphimorphia, Didelphidae. The record is from RefSeq and is a predicted model, not a curated record.